RNAcentral lists this ribosomal RNA (1372 nucleotides) under uncultured bacterium. Its description in RNAcentral is "bacterial SSU rRNA". It matches the Rfam family "Bacterial small subunit ribosomal RNA", at positions 28 to 1381 of the family's 1533-position model. The record is from RNAcentral.
GAUGAACGCUGGCGGCGUGCCUAAUACAUGCAAGUCGAGCGAACGGACGAGAAGCUUGCUUCUCUGAUGUUAGCGGCGGACGGGUGAGUAACACGUGGAUAACCUACCUAUAAGACUGGGAUAACUUCGGGAAACCGGAGCUAAUACCGGAUAAUAUUUUGAACCGCAUGGUUCAAAAGUGAAAGACGGUCUUGCUGUCACUUAUAGAUGGAUCCGCGCUGCAUUAGCUAGUUGGUAAGGUAACGGCUUACCAAGGCAACGAUGCAUAGCCGACCUGAGAGGGUGAUCGGCCACACUGGAACUGAGACACGGUCCAGACUCCUACGGGGGGCAGCAGUAGGGAAUCUUCCGCAAUGGGCGAAAGCCUGACGGAGCAACGCCGCGUGAGUGAUGAAGGUCUUCGGAUCGUAAAACUCUGUUAUUAGGGAAGAACAUAUGUGUAAGUAACUGUGCGCAUCUUGACGGUACCUAAUCAGAAAGCCACGGCUAACUACGUGCCAGCAGCCGCGGUAAUACGUAGGUGGCAAGCGUUAUCCGGAAUUAUUGGGCGUAAAGCGCGCGUAGGCGGUUUUUUAAGUCUGAUGUGAAAGCCCACGGCUCAACCGUGGAGGGUCAUUGGAAACUGGAAAACUUGAGUGCAGAAGAGGAAAGUGGAAUUCCAUGUGUAGCGGUGAAAUGCGCAGAGAUAUGGAGGAACACCAGUGGCGAAGGCGACUUUCUGGUCUGUAACUGACGCUGAUGUGCGAAAGCGUGGGGAUCAAACAGGAUUAGAUACCCUGGUAGUCCACGCCGUAAACGAUGAGUGCUAAGUGUUAGGGGGUUUCCGCCCCUUAGUGCUGCAGCUAACGCAUUAAGCACUCCGCCUGGGGAGUACGACCGCAAGGUUGAAACUCAAAGGAAUUGACGGGGACCCGCACAAGCGGUGGAGCAUGUGGUUUAAUUCGAAGCAACGCGAAGAACCUUACCAAAUCUUGACAUCCUUUGACAACUCUAGAGAUAGAGCUUUCCCCUUCGGGGGACAAAGUGACAGGUGGUGCAUGGUUGUCGUCAGCUCGUGUCGUGAGAUGUUGGGUUAAGUCCCGCAACGAGCGCAACCCUUAAGCUUAGUUGCCAUCAUUAAGUUGGGCACUCUAAGUUGACUGCCGGUGACAAACCGGAGGAAGGUGGGGAUGACGUCAAAUCAUCAUGCCCCUUAUGAUUUGGGCUACACACGUGCUACAAUGGACAAUACAAAGGGCAGCGAAACCGCGAGGUCAAGCAAAUCCCAUAAAGUUGUUCUCAGUUCGGAUUGUAGUCUGCAACUCGACUACAUGAAGCUGGAAUCGCUAGUAAUCGUAGAUCAGCAUGCUACGGUGAAUACGUUCCCGGGUCU